RNAcentral lists this transfer RNA (149 nucleotides) under Penicillium expansum. It matches the Rfam family "tRNA". From Rfam's summary of the family: Transfer RNA (tRNA) molecules are approximately 80 nucleotides in length. Their secondary structure includes four short double-helical elements and three loops (D, anti-codon, and T loops). Further hydrogen bonds mediate the characteristic L-shaped molecular structure. tRNAs have two regions of fundamental functional importance: the anti-codon, which is responsible for specific mRNA codon recognition, and the 3' end, to which the tRNAs corresponding amino acid is attached (by aminoacyl-tRNA synthetases). tRNAs cope with the degeneracy of the genetic code in two manners: having more than one tRNA (with a specific anti-codon) for a particular amino acid; and 'wobble' base-pairing, i.e. permitting non-standard base-pairing at the 3rd anti-codon position. Lineage: Eukaryota; Fungi; Ascomycota; Eurotiomycetes; Eurotiales; Aspergillaceae. The record is from Rfam by way of RNAcentral.
GGCAGUUUGGCGGAGUGGUCUAACGCGCUAGACUGUGAGUACACCCCAUCAGAAAGUGUUCCGGAGUCUUUACUAAUCAUGUAACAGUGAAUCAACCCUCGAGUUAUCUAGUCCAUUCGUGGGCGCAGGUUCGAACCCUGCAACUGUCG